GCUGGAGUGCAGUGGUACAAUCUCGGCUCAUUGCAACCUCCACCUCCCAGGUUCAAGCAAUUCUCCUGCCUCAGGCUCCUGAGUAGUUGGGAUUACAGGCACCCACCACCACACCCAGCUAAUUUUUGUAUUUUUAGUAGAGACAGGGUUUCACCAUGUUGGCCAGGCUGGUCUCGAACUCCUGACCUCAGGUGAGCCACCCACCUUGGCCUCUCAAAGUGCUGGGAAUACAGGCGUGUCGUGCCUGGUCUAAAAAAUGUCUAUUAGUGUUCCAUCACUAGAUCUCUUCUGAG
RNAcentral lists this long non-coding RNA (293 nucleotides) under Homo sapiens (human). RNAcentral's name for it is "HSALNT0190687". The record is from RNAcentral. Lineage: Eukaryota; Metazoa; Chordata; Mammalia; Primates; Hominidae.